CCAACACUUAACUGUACUUAUUACUAAACUUACUCUCUCUCUCUCUCUCUCUCUCUCUUUAUCUUCCGGAGUGCUCUAUCUUAAAAUCUGAGGUCGUAGCUGGAAUCAGUUUCAUUCAAUAGCCUCUGAGCCACCCCCAAAGAUGAUUCCAAUGGAUAAUCACUUUGUGCCGCCGAGCACUAGCACCACCGGUCUUGUAUUCCCGGCGAUUUACGCUGCCUCCGGGUUACAGCCACCUGUGGAUACUUUGGCUUCUGUGGCUGGAGUCAAAUCUGAAGCUGCUUUGGUCAUGGAUUGGUCCCCUGAGGAGCAGUUUGUACUGGAGAACAGCCUUGCAAAAUUAACAAAUAAACCGAAGAUUUCAAAGUAUGUAAAGAUUGCUGCAACACUACCAGAUAAAACUGUGAGGGAUGUAGCAUUGAGGUGUAGAUGGAUGUCGGGAAAACGGAGAAAAAGAAAAGAAAAUAGUGCUGGGAAGAACGUUUACAAUAGAAAGGUGGUGGAUACAUCCCCAGAACUGAGCAUGUUAGCCAAUGUGCCACAACAAAAUGCUUUAUAUGUCAUGAACAAUAUGUGCCACAGUACACACAUGCCUCGUGAAGGUUUAAGUGAUGCAGUAAUGGAUCUUCUACAGCAAAACGCUCAAGCGUUUAGUCAAAUUUCAUACAACCUCUCUGUGUGCAAGCUGCAGGAUAACAUCAGUCUCUUUGAUCAGACAAGAAAUAACAUCAGCGCCAUUCUGACUAAUAUGAAGGAGAUGCCAGGUAUCAUGAGCAGGAUGUCGGCUCUACCUGUUACAGUUAACGAUGAUCUUGCAAGCCAUUUAUUGUCGAGUACAACACAGCCAACAUCAUACACCAUUCACCCAAGCAGCCACCUGAAGCAAGAGCCGAGAAUUUGAUGGGGAAAAGCUGGAUUUUGACGGAUGCUAAAGGAAACAGCACUAGUACCUGGUAAGUGAUGGACAUGACAUGACAUGACACAGACACAAGGGUUAUGAACUGCAGACACCUCUCCAAAUCACACACGGGAUUGACAAUCGGCACUGGUGGAAUACUUGUGCUCUGGGGGGAGUUUGACUGAGAAGAAUGAACUACAGGCCGAGGGACCCUUACUUUUAAGACAGACAACAGUGUAACUUCGAGACUAUAAUGGCUUGUAACUCAUAACACAGCUUAGCAAGGUGGCAGAGGAAACUAUUACAGCCGGUUUAUGCAGUUUUCCAAGAAGACAAGGGUGGAGUUUCAGAGUUCUUGUAGGUAACUAUAUAAGUAGCUGAUCUUUCCCCUUUCACAGAAUCUGGACGUCCCAUGGCUUCAAGCUCAGCCAUCUCUUGGCUUGUGAGUUUCACAGAUAAAGCUCCAAUGUUCUGAUUAAGGUUUUUGAUCUUGGAGGUUCCUGGAAAGGGGCAGACAUCAUCUCCUUGGUUGGUGAACCCAUGCGAGUGCUAGUUGUACAGGAGUGCAGCUUUUCUUUUCCGCCAUUGCAUUUACCUUCUCAUAGAGAAUCUUGUUGUGGUCUUAGUUCUCUUGUUGGAAUCUCGGUAAGCCCUGGAAUAUAGCAAAACAUAGUCUUAGUAUAACAUUCAUAAUAAGAUUUUGAUACUCCAUGAAUCCA
Molecule: RNA transcript, 1617 nt
Organism: Brassica oleracea var. oleracea
Lineage: Eukaryota; Viridiplantae; Streptophyta; Magnoliopsida; Brassicales; Brassicaceae
Exons: 10
Source: RefSeq, a predicted model, not a curated record